Molecule: long non-coding RNA, 3058 nt
Organism: Cornus florida
Lineage: Eukaryota; Viridiplantae; Streptophyta; Magnoliopsida; Cornales; Cornaceae
Exons: 7
Source: RefSeq, a predicted model, not a curated record
AAAGGGAAAAAGCAAGAACAGGCUAGGGUUUGGAAGAAAAGUUCAGAGAAGAUGAAACAGAUGAUGGGGAUUGUCCUGUCUUCGACUCCAUCAACCAUGAGUGGCUGAUUCUUCUACUUAGGGUUGGAUAAACCCUAAGCAUGUAACCUAUUCUCUCUCUCUUUUCAUACUUUUUGGGGAUUAAUUUAUGUAAUUAGUGUAUAGUCUUGAAUAUUAUGAAUUAAAUUCUUCCAAUUGAUUAUCUGUAUUAAUCUCAUAUUGUCUUAUGUGUGGUUGAUUGAUAAACAAAUUUUACACAUGAAUUCUUUGUUAAUUGAUUCUUGUGAUGGCUAUGCAUGGUAUUGCUUAGUUGUAAUUGUGUUUCAAAUUGAUGAAAAAUGCUUCCAUUUGAUAGAUGGUACUACAUGUUUAGGUUAAUUUGUUGUCUAAUUAGUUUUAAAUUCAUGUUUAAUUAGUUUAAUUUAAGUUUAAUUAAUUUAAUUGCAAUUCAAUUAUUAUGUAAGUAGACCAUCCAUACUUAUGUUUGAAUUCCAUACUUUUUGUCACAAUUGCAUUAUCUUCUAGAUUAAUGUGUGUUAAAUUUGUAACUUGGAUUGAUAAAUCAUACUUUGAAUGGGUGAAUUGCACUACACUUAGUUUAAUUGUCAUUAGGUAGUUGAUUCAUGCUUGAAAUUGAUGGUUUACACUUUUCAUUGCACUUGUUAGCCACAUAUAGAUUACAUAGUAUUAUUUCCCCAAUUAGUUGAAAGUGAGUAAGUUAGGGAAUGUGCUUAGUGGUGAAUCCUACACCCUAAGUCUCUUUCCAAUCUCUUAAACUAUAUUUCUUUAUUGCAAUCAUUUAGUUUAAAAUUAGUUUUAAUCACAAACAAAACCCUUUUGGCAACCACAUAAGCACUAAAGUAGAAUUCAAUUCUGGAAAACCUAUAAUUGUUUAGAUCUCUUGGGACGAUCCCUGCUCACUUCAUACUCCAUAGUAUAAGUGUUUAGUGGUUUUAUAAAUUUUAAAAUAUGGUGCCCACUUGACAUUAUUUCUAAACCUAAAGUGUUGUGCAUUAUUUUGUGCACACGCUCGGUCGCACCAGUAAAUACACUAAAAAUGUUGUCUAUAAGGAGGUUCUCCAGUCUAAAAGAUAAGAAUACACCCACAUUAAUAUCCAUGCCUUCCCAUUCCAAAAUUAUUUUGCAUUGUUCGAAAGGUAAAGAUACCCCACAUUCGUUACCAAUUAUUACAAUAUUUAAAUCUUUCACUCACAAUUUUAUUUUUUAAAAAUAUAAAAAAAAUAUCAACUUCGAUUUAACUUACUGUUAAUGUAUAUAUAUAUAUUUUUCAUUUCUAUUUUGAUACUCGAUCAUUCUUAUUUCACAAUUUUAUUUUUAAUUUUUAUUUUCUUUAACCUCAAUUCUUUUUUCUUUUCAUCAUGCAAAAACAGUCAUGAAAAUGAAGAAAGGUCACUAAAGCUUUGAGUUAAUAAAUUCACUUGUUACUUUAAAAACAGAAUCGACAAUAAAAGUAGUUGUAUUUCGAAGAGCAAUCGAGGAAUACACAUCAGGAACAAUGUUGAAAGUAGUUCUGAUGGAUGAUGACGUAAGUAUACCAUCGGCUAUUCUGUUAGUUUCAUUAAAUGCAUCUAUAUUUAUAUGGCAACAUUGUUAUUUAAUGAUCUUAUUAAUCCAUUUGCACAACUUUUUUACUCUUUCAGGGAACACAAAUUCAAGGUGUCUUAUUUAACGAGCUCGUCACUAAAUUCAGUGAUUCAUUAUUGCUUCACAAGACAUACAGAAUUUCAAAUGUAACUGUAAAAGACGUCAAUCCUAUAUAUAGGAGUGUGCACAAGGAGUAUGAAUUGAAAUUUCUUAAUAACACCUCAAUUAAAGUUGAAGAGCUUGAAGUAGUAAGCUUAGAAACAAUAAACUUUAAUUUUGUGGACUUCAAGGAGCUGAACAAGUACACUGAUGUAAAAGAAAAUAUGGAUUAGUUUUUGUUUAAUUCUCAACUCUCCAUAUAUAUGUUCUCUCUUGUACACAUAUAAGAUUAAAAUUUCUUAUUUUUUAUUUUAUUUUUAAUCUGGCUCAAUGCAUUUGGGAAUUGUUAUUGAGGUAUCUCCUACAUUGAACAUAUGUAAGAAGAACAAUAAAGGCACAACCAAAAAGCGGGAAGUCAUUAUAAUGGCUAUGAGUUCAUGGAUAACAACUUUGACGUUAUGGGAGGAUCUUGCUGAGAAUGAAGGAAACUUUUUCAUGGAACUAAUACAAGAAAGACCUAUUAUCACAAUGACACAUGUGGCAAUCAACACUUACAAAGGUCUGUCUCUUCAAAUGCAAAAAUGAUCUACAUUGCAAAUCAAUAUGGAUAUUGAAAGUGUCAAAUCAUUAAGGCAUUGGUCCAUAGAGAACAUAAAUAACAAAGAUAUAAGAAGUUUGAUUUCCAGUACAAAAGAUCAAAAAUUCAAUGGUGCUGAAAAAGUCAAACUUCAAGACAUAAUAAGAAAAUCUACAAUGUCCUUUGAGAAAUUGAAAAUGUCGUUAAUGACCGCGAACCGUGGUACGACCCUGUGAGAAAUGCAACAAGAAAAUAAAAGUUGAAAAAGAUAGAGUAUACUGUCCUCAAUGCAACACAAUAGACCCAAAAUACAUUCAAAAAUUCAUGAUGAUAAUUAAAGUGCGAACUAUGGAACAUAUUGCAACACUUGCAACCCUAACAGUGUUUAAUGAUUGCCAAAUAUUAAUAAAUUGUUCACUAGAUGAUUUACUACAAUUAAAAAUUGAGGACAUGGAUGAAUUCAGUAACAAAGUGACAAGCUGCAAAGGAAAAUCUUUUCUUUUUCUGGCGAAGAUAGACAAUACUCAACAAGAAGUCAUGCAAACUUAUUUUGCGGUGGAAGAAUUAAAAGAAUUCACACUUGAUAAUGAUUCAUUUCAUGAAGAAAUGAGAUAUGCAAAAAAGAUAAAGAUUGAGAAAUAAAUAAUUUAGGAAUACUUUUAUUUUCAAACAGUUAUAGUUUUAGAUUUUCUAAUAUAUUUUGUUUCUUUUGAGGUGACAAUUAUUACAAUCUAAACA